This is a non-coding RNA of Oryctolagus cuniculus (rabbit), 3346 nucleotides long. Lineage: Eukaryota; Metazoa; Chordata; Mammalia; Lagomorpha; Leporidae. The record is from RefSeq and is a predicted model, not a curated record.
CAGGAAGAAGCACAAGACUCUCCGGCCGGCUCUCCCGCCUGGGGACGGCUGCAAAGGAAGCACCCAACCGACGGCGAGGCUCCCGCGGAGGAGGCGGAGGAGGCGUGUGCGCCGCAGCCGGAGGUGCAGCCCGAGUGGCGAGGUUCCUUGGCUCUCAAGAGUGCCACCUCCAGCUAACUUUCCUAUUCGGUUCUGGAAGCUCGCUCUACACUGAAGAUGGGUGCAGUUUUCACUGAAGCUGCACCCGUUGCCUGGAUGUGCCACACUGUACCUAGACCCCUAUGUGACUAGGUUCAAGUCCCUGUGCACUUGGGCAGGAAGGCAUUGUACUAGGACAGUGAACACUUGCUGUUCACAAGAUCAGCUCUCCUCCAGCCAGCUGGAAUCCACUUGCUGCACAUCCCAGGACUGAAAAGAUCCCAUUGGAAGAUGCUGGAAAUACCACAGAUAGGACAAAGGUGACAACUCUUCGGCUAAACAGAACGCAAAGAGAUUUUGUUCCUUGACAGCUACCUGCUUGUUUGAUGACAAAAGUGAUAUUCGUGUUCAAUUUUGAACUGUCCUCUCCGAAGUCAGCAUUCCUGUAGCUGUCCCCAGCCCUCAGCCUAUGGCGAUGCAGCCGGAGAUCCUCAACAGAGCAGCCUGCAUCCGGAACUUCCUGGCCUUCAGAACCAUGACUCAACUGCUUUAUGAUUCCAAGCCUUAGAUUUUUUUUUUUUUAAAGACUUUUAUUUACUUAUUUGAGGGGCAGAGUUACAGUCAGGAGAGGGAGAGACAGAGAGAAAGGCUCUCUACCCACUGGUUCACUCCGCAAAUGGCCGCCAUGGCCUGAGCCGGGCUGAGUGGAAGCCGGGAGCCAGGAGCUUCCUCCAGAUCUCUCACAAGGGUGCAGGGGCCCAAGCACAUGGGCCAUCUUUUGCUGGUUUUCCAGGCCGUAGCAGAAAGCUGCACUGGAAGAGGGGCAGCUGAGAUGGGAACUGACGCCCAUAUGGGACGCCAGCACCAACGUAGGCGAGGCAUAGUCCACUGCACCAUAGCGACAGACCCCCCACACUUUCUUUCUUUCUCUCUUUCUCUCUUUCUCUCUUUCUCUCUCUCUCUUUCUCUCUCUCUCUCUUUCUCUUUCUCUCUUUCUCUCUCUCUCUCUCUCUCUCUCUCUCUCUUUCUCGGUCAGCCUUAGAUAUUUUGUUAGAGCACCCGAAAACAGAUUAGGACAAAACCCAAUGGAGACUUUUAGAGUUAGGCUGAAUACUUGGAGUAUAAAAUUUAAAAAUAGGCAAACAUAGUGGCUCAUGUUUCAAAUAGAGACAGUAUAGAGAAAAAAGCAGGAUCUCGGAGACUGUAAGGAAGCGCUAACUGUUCUGAUAUGUAGGGAAUGGAAGUAGGUUUUACCCCUUGUGCUUUCUCAGUGUUUGGUGGUGUGGCUAUGUGGCUCCUGUCCACUGCUGAAAUAUCUGAAAUGUGGGUACAAUGGAAGAAAGCUUGAAAUUGCGGACAAAAUAAAACCCACCUGGGUUCUCUCCCAGGCUUCCCAUGUGAUCCUGGACAAGCAGUUUGGAGUCUCUGAGCUUGAGAUUCUCUAUCCAGCCUGGUGGGGCUCGUCCCAGACCACAGGUGAGAAUCACUCGGGGAGUUCAGAGCAGUCAGCAUCCCACUCUCACCCCAGUGUGGCUGGGGAAGGUUCCCCAGGUGAUUCUGACGAGACGGAGAGGUUGAGACGCUUGAGCCAGCCUGAACUCCACGAGAGUUCGCUCCUGUCUGUCUGAUUUUUUUUAUUCAUAGGGGAAAUCAGGCCCUCCCUCAGCCCAGGCCCCUGAAGCGAGUAGUGAUCAUUUAUAUAAGUACUUAGGAGAAAAAAAAUUUUUAAAUGCACUGGCUGUGUUACCUCUUGUAUUUGAUUUUGGGAGGAGGGGGUGUUUAAGAUUUAUUUAUCUAUCGGCAUGAAAGAGAAGUGUCAGUCUUGGAUCUGCUGGUUUACUAGCCAGAUGGCUACAGUGCCUGGGACUGGGCCAGGCUGGAGUCAAGAGCCAAGAACUCUGUUCAGGUCCCCCAUGUGGAUGGCAGGAACCCAAGUAUUUGGGCCAUCACCUGCUGCCUCCGAGGUGGACUGGCCUGAAAGCAGAGCAGCCGUGACUGGAGCUGGCACUCCCACAUGGGAUGCCGGCAUUGCAAGCAGCGGCUCAACCCACUGUGCCUCCUGGUUGUGAGAGGUGAUUGCUCUUUGGUCCUAAUAACCGCUUCGCGCUGGGAUUUUCUCUCGGCAUUUGGGUGUAAAGAGUAUGCAUUUUUAAAGCUGUCUGAAGGCCUCCUUUAUGCAGCAGACCGUAGCUCCUCUCUGCAUAGACCUCAAUGCUUUAUCAAAUAAAUGAUACACAUUUAAAAAUCUGUCUCAAGGGGCAUUUACCUGAGGGACUGUUAUUGUGUUGGAAUUUUUUCCCAGCCCUUAUGGUUCAUUGGGUAAAUAAUAUCUUUUAACCAAUUUUUAAAUGGACAUGUCUAGCAAGAUGCCAUUUUAUCAAUCUUACACAUUCCUAUACCCUUCAGAGAGGGCUCCUUUAGGUCAUUUUUAUUAUAAAUUCCACAUUAAGAUACUUUACCAGGAAAAGAAAAAAAGAGGAUCAAAUCUUAAAACGGAGUCUGAAGCCCAUCUCUGGCCCAUAACUUUUGGCUAAUCAAAGACUUGGUUAUUUCUUUACUUUUUUUUUCCCCGUGUAAAAAUUCAAGAUACUGUUGUGCCUUUGGGAUGGUAGACCAUAACCGUGUUCUUCCUUGGAGAUUCCUGGUUGGAUUAUCUUAAGAGAAAGUGGGGAUUGGUCAGAUGUGAUUGUGCAGUGGAAGGGCCUCUGCUGGGUCCCCGUGCCCGUCAGCGUCAGUCAUGAGAAUCUACGAGAGACAGCCAGGGACCAGCGGUGGUGGCACAGGGCUCACUGCAGAGAAGAUGAGGAUUCCGUAGAGAAUCGCAGGAGUGCUGAGAGUGUCAGCAGAUGCGACUCAGGGUGUUAGAUGGAUCAAGGGUUGAAGUUGCUGGCAACAGGAUCCUCUCAAGCCAGCUUAAGCAGAGAGGGCUUUGAUUCAUGGAAUUGCCUGGAAGGGCUUGCAGGUUACACAUAGGAACAGUGCAGCGGGAGAAAUAGAUUGUACUUUCAAAGAGUAGUCUGGGCCGGCGCCACGGCUCACUAGGCUAAUCCUCCGCCUUGCGGCGCCGGCACACCGGGUUCUAGUCCCAGUCGGGGCGCCGGAUUCUGUCCCGGUUGCCCCUCUUCCAGGCCAGCUCUCUGCUGUGGCCAGGGAGUGCAGUGGAGGAUGGCCCAAGUGCUUGGGCCCUGCACCCCAUGGGAGACCAGGA